UACGUAGGGUGCGAGCGUUAAUCGGAAUUACUGGGCGUAAAGAGUGCGCAGGCGGCCGCGCAAGUCGAGUGUGAAAGCCCCGGGCUUAACUUGGGAAUUGCGCUCGAAACUACGUGGCUGGAGUGUGGCAGAGGAAGGUGGAAUUCCAGGUGUAGCGGUGAAAUGCGCAGAUAUCAGGAGGAACACCGGUGGCGAAGGCGGGUCUCUGGGCCGAUACUGACGCUGAGGAGCGAAAGCGUGGGGAGCAAACAGG
RNAcentral lists this ribosomal RNA (253 nucleotides) under uncultured bacterium. RNAcentral describes it as "partial 16S ribosomal RNA". It matches the Rfam family "Bacterial small subunit ribosomal RNA", at positions 524 to 776 of the family's 1533-position model. The record is from RNAcentral.